Molecule: ribosomal RNA, 252 nt
Filed under: uncultured bacterium
Lineage: Bacteria
Description: partial 16S ribosomal RNA
Rfam family: Bacterial small subunit ribosomal RNA
Source: RNAcentral
UACGAAGGGGGCUAGCGUUGUUCGGAAUUACUGGGCGUAAAGCGCGCGCAGGCGGCUAUCCAAGUCAGUGGUGAAAGCCCGGAGCUCAACUCCGGAACUGCCUUGAAACUGUUUAGCUUGAGGACGAGAGAGGUGAGUGGAAUUCCCAGUGUAGAGGUGAAAUUCGUAGAUAUUGGGAAGAACACCGGUGGCGAAGGCGGCUCACUGGCUCGUAUCUGACGCUCAGGCGCGACAGCGUGGGGAUCAAACAGG